Molecule: ribosomal RNA, 509 nt
Filed under: uncultured bacterium
Lineage: Bacteria
Description: partial 16S ribosomal RNA
Rfam family: Bacterial small subunit ribosomal RNA
Source: RNAcentral
GAUUAACGCUGGCGGCAUGCUUAACACAUGCAAGUCGAACGGCAGCGAGUUAUAGGGUAACCUAUAAUGUCGGCGAGUUGCGCACGGGUGAGUAAUGCGUAGGAAUCUAUGGUAAAGCUGAGGAUAGCCUGUGGAAACAUAGGGUAAUACUGAAUAAUCCGUCAUUGGUAAAGCUGGGGACCUUAUGGCCUGGCGCUUUAUGGUGAGCCUACGUUAGAUUAGCUAGUUGGUGGGGUAAAAGCCUACGAAGGCGAGGAUCUAUAGCUGUUCUGGUGAGAAGGACAGCCACACUGGGAAUGAGACACGUCGCAGACGCUUACUGGAGGAAGCAGUGGGGAAUAUUGGAAAAUGGGCGAAAGGCUGAUCCAGCAAUGCCGCGUGUGUGAAGAAGGCCUUCGGGUUGUAAAGCACUUUCAAUAGGGAGGAUGUUAACUAUGUUUAAGAGAUGUAGUUAAUGACGUUACCUAUAGAAGAAGCACCGGCUAACUCUGUGCCAGCCGCCGCGGUAA